This is a transfer RNA of Colletotrichum incanum, 86 nucleotides long. It matches the Rfam family "tRNA". Rfam says of the family: Transfer RNA (tRNA) molecules are approximately 80 nucleotides in length. Their secondary structure includes four short double-helical elements and three loops (D, anti-codon, and T loops). Further hydrogen bonds mediate the characteristic L-shaped molecular structure. tRNAs have two regions of fundamental functional importance: the anti-codon, which is responsible for specific mRNA codon recognition, and the 3' end, to which the tRNAs corresponding amino acid is attached (by aminoacyl-tRNA synthetases). tRNAs cope with the degeneracy of the genetic code in two manners: having more than one tRNA (with a specific anti-codon) for a particular amino acid; and 'wobble' base-pairing, i.e. permitting non-standard base-pairing at the 3rd anti-codon position. The record is from Rfam. NCBI's taxonomy places the organism in Eukaryota, Fungi, Ascomycota, Sordariomycetes, Glomerellales, Glomerellaceae.
GGGCGAUUGGCUCAGUGGUAGAGCGCCCGCUUUGCAUUAUCUCAUAUGUCUGCGGGAGGCCCAGGGUUCAAUCCCCUGAUCGUCCA